Molecule: non-coding RNA, 80 nt
Organism: Methanoculleus sp. SDB
Lineage: Archaea; Methanobacteriati; Methanobacteriota; Methanomicrobia; Methanomicrobiales; Methanomicrobiaceae
Source: Rfam
AGCACUUUUUCUACAAUAAGUGCUGGCUGAUGUAAGUCCGACGUGCCGUAUGGCAUUGCCCCAACGUGGCUUGGGAUUAC